CCUACGGGUGGCAGCAGUGGGGAAUAUUGCACAAUGGGGGCAACCCUGAUGCAGCAACGCCGCGUGAGUGAAGAAGUAUUUCGGUAUGUAAAGCUCUAUCAGCAGGGAAGAAGAAAGACGGUACCUGACUAAGAAGCCCCGGCUAACUACGUGCCAGCAGCCGCGGUAAUACGUAGGGGGCAAGCGUUAUCCGGAUUUACUGGGUGGAAAGGGAGCGUAGACGGCAUUGCAAGUCUGAAGUGAAAGCCCGUGGCUCAACCGCGGAACUGCUUUGGAAAAUGUUGAGCUGGAGUGCUGGAGAGGCAAGCGGAAUUCCUAGUGUAGCGGUGAAAUGCGUAGAUAUUAGGAGGAACACCAGUGGCGAAGGCGGCUUGCUGGACAGAGACUGACGUUGAGGCUCGAAAGCGUGGGGAGCAAACAGGAUUAGAUAUCCGAGUAGUC
Molecule: ribosomal RNA, 441 nt
Filed under: uncultured bacterium
Lineage: Bacteria
Description: partial 16S ribosomal RNA
Rfam family: Bacterial small subunit ribosomal RNA
Source: RNAcentral